This 459-nucleotide ribosomal RNA is filed under the name uncultured bacterium. Its description in RNAcentral is "bacterial SSU rRNA". It matches the Rfam family "Bacterial small subunit ribosomal RNA", at positions 29 to 533 of the family's 1533-position model. The record is from RNAcentral.
AACGAACGCUGGCGGCAUGCCUAACACAUGCAAGUCGAACGAAGGCUUCGGCCUUAGUGGCGCACGGGUGCGUAACGCGUGGGAAUCUGCCCUUGGGUUCGGAAUAACUCAGAGAAAUUUGAGCUAAUACCGGAUGAUGACGUAAGUCCAAAGAUUUAUCGCCCAAGGAUGAGCCCGCGUAAGAUUAGCUAGUUGGUGGGGUAAAGGCCUACCAAGGCGACGAUCUUUAGCUGGUCUGAGAGGAUGAUCAGCCACACUGGGACUGAGACACGGCCCAGACUCCUACGGGAGGCAGCAGUGGGGAAUAUUGGACAAUGGGCGAAAGCCUGAUCCAGCAAUGCCGCGUGAGUGAUGAAGGCCUUAGGGUUGUAAAGCUCUUUUACCAGGGACGAUAAUGACAGUACCUGGAGAAUAAGCUCCGGCUAACUCCGUGCCAGCAGCCGCGGUAAUGUACAGUGU